UGUCUCAGUACAUGCCUAAUUAAGGUGAAACCGCGAAUGGCUCAUUAAAUCAGUUAUGGUUCCUUAGAUCGUACCCACAUUUACUUGGAUAACUGUGGUAAUUCUAGAGCUAAUACAUGCAAACUAGAAUUCCGACCAGAGAUGGAAGGAAUGCUUUUAUUAGAUCAAAACCAAUCGGUGGUAUAUAAUUUAUUAUAUAUCCAUCGUUAAUUUUGAUGACUCUGAAUAACUUUGUGCUGAUCGCAUGGUCUUGUACCGGCGACGAAUCUUUCAAAUGUCUGCCUUAUCAACUGUCGAUGGUAGGUUCUGCGCCUACCAUGGUUGUAACGGGUAACGGGGAAUCAGGGUUCGAUUCCGGAGAGGGAGCCUGAGAAACGGCUACCACAUCCAAGGAAGGCAGCAGGCGCGCAAAUUACCCACUCCCGGCACGGGGAGGUAGUGACGAAAAAUAACGAUACGGGACUCAUCCGAGGCCCCGUAAUCGGAAUGAGUACACUUUAAAUCCUUUAACGAGGAUCCAUUGGAGGGCAAGUCUGGUGCCAGCAGCCGCGGUAAUUCCAGCUCCAAUAGCGUAUAUUAAAGUUGUUGCGGUUAAAAAGCUCGUAGUUGAAUUUGUGUGCCACGCUGUCGGUUCAUCGCUCGCGAUGUUUAACUGGCAUGAUUGUGGGACGUCCUACCGGUGGAUUUAGCUUUAUAUAUUUUUAAAUAUAUUUAGCGAUCCAGUUUAUAUCCCGUCGCGGUGCUCUUUAUUGAGUGUCGAGGUGGGCCGGUACGUUUACUUUGAACAAAUUAGAGUGCUUAAAGCAGGCUUUUUUUGCCUGAAUACUGUGUGCAUGGAAUAAUAAAAUAGGACCUCGGUUCUAUUUUGUUGGUUUUCGGAACCCCGAGGUAAUGAUAAUAGGGACAG
Molecule: ribosomal RNA, 907 nt
Filed under: Aphidius matricariae
Lineage: Eukaryota; Metazoa; Arthropoda; Insecta; Hymenoptera; Braconidae
Description: SSU rRNA
Rfam family: Eukaryotic small subunit ribosomal RNA
Source: RNAcentral